AUGAACGAAUUAAUGGGAGAUAGCUGUCUCAGGGGUAUUAGUACUAAAUUAGUAAGUAAGUGAAAAUACUUACGGGAAGAAAAUAGACGAGAAGACCCUAGAAGCUUGUUAUUUGUUUUGUUGGGGCGACAGAAUUGCAUUAGAACCAAUUUUAUAAAUGUGACGUAUAGCAGAAAAAAUAAGCUACUCUAGGGAUAACAGCAUAAUAAAAUUUGUUUGUGACCUCGAUGUUGGACUAGGUAGAAUAGUCCUUAGAAGGGACUAAAAAUGCUCUGUUCGAGCAGUUUAACCUACA
This 295-nucleotide ribosomal RNA is filed under the name Cepaea nemoralis (banded wood snail). RNAcentral's name for it is "partial 16S ribosomal RNA". The record is from RNAcentral. Lineage: Eukaryota; Metazoa; Mollusca; Gastropoda; Stylommatophora; Helicidae.